GCCACCACACCUGACCAAAAAUAUUCCAUCUUAAGGUGCCAAUUACUUCAUAAACUUUAAGAUAGUUAUGUUUUAUUCCUGGGGAAUACCCCUGAGUGCCACCCUGCGAUUCGCGCUCGAGUAGCUGUGAGAAAAGCCGCUUCGUGUCGGGGGUCGACUGUUCCCUGCUGGCCAGCUGUGGGUGUGGAGCCAGUGACUUUGCCUCUUCACAUCUUGGUGACUCCGUGGCUGUGUGGACACAGGAUUGCAGGGGCAGGAGUGGAAGCAAGAAGCCUCCUAAGGAGAUGGAUGCUGGAGCUGUGGUGAGAGGGAAGGGGGGCCAGGGCUGAGAAGGGGUGGAGAGAGGUGGGUUGACUAGGACACAUGGCAGAGCCGGUGCGCUGGCUGUAUGGAGUGAGGACUAAUGGGGAAUCAAGGACGUCCAGCUGUGGAUGGCAGAAGGGCCACUGUCUGAAGUGGGAAGUCUGGACAUUCCCAAAGGAGUCUUUGAAAGACUGGGUCUUCUCCUGAGCCUGAGAGCAGUGCUUCUUCCAAUGGCACUGCUUCCAUUUUAAGCAUCAGCAUGGCCCGGGAGCUUGUUGGAAUGAAGAAUCUCCAGCUCCACCCGAAACCUGCUGAAUCAGAACCAGCAUUUAACACGUCACCAGGAUCCCAGGUCACUUGGCUGUCCUUGGCUCAACUGUGAGUAAGGAGGAGUCCUGCGGAAUGAAAAAUGACUACCCAGAUUUGCCACCAAAAUCCAGCAGGAGUGCCUUAGAAAGCAGGUAAGGCAUAGGAGCCCCAGUCUUGGGGCACAAGAAGAAUGGUCUCCAUCUGUCCGGUCCUCUUCAUGGGAGGAGCCCUUGCCUGUGCACUCUUUUUUUUUUUUUUUUUUU
Molecule: long non-coding RNA, 875 nt
Filed under: Homo sapiens (human)
Lineage: Eukaryota; Metazoa; Chordata; Mammalia; Primates; Hominidae
Description: HSALNT0381969
Source: RNAcentral